RNAcentral lists this ribosomal RNA (433 nucleotides) under uncultured bacterium. RNAcentral describes it as "partial 16S ribosomal RNA". It matches the Rfam family "Bacterial small subunit ribosomal RNA", at positions 29 to 507 of the family's 1533-position model. The record is from RNAcentral.
AGCGAACGCUGGCGGCAGGCCUAACACAUGCAAGUCGAACGAACUCUUCGGAGUUAGUGGCGGACGGGUGAGAAACACGUGGGAACGUGCCUUUUGGUUCGGAAUAACUCAGGGAAACUUGUGCUAAUACCGAAUGUGCCCUUCGGGGGAAAGAUUUAUCGCCAUUAGAGCGGCCCGCGUCUGAUUAGCUAGUUGGUGAGGUAACGGCUCACCAAGGCGACGAUCAGUAGCUGGUCUGAGAGGAUGACCAGCCACACUGGGACUGAGACACGGCCCAGACUCCUACGGGAGGCAGCAGUGGGGAAUCUUGCGCAAUGGGCGAAAGCCUGACGCAGCCAUGCCGCGUGAAUGAUGAAGGUCUUAGGAUUGUAAAAUUCUUUCACCGGGGACGAUAAUGACGGUACCCGGAGAAGAAGCCCCGGCUAACUUCGUG